AGUCCUAGCUGUAAACAAUGGAUACUAGAUGUUGAACAGAUCGACCUGUGCAGUAUCAAAGCUAACGCGUUAAGUAUCCCGCCUGGGAAGUAUGCUCGCAAGAGUGAAACUCGAAGGAAUUGACGGGGGCCCGCACAAGCGGUGGAGCAUGUGGUUUAAUUCGAUGCAACGCGAAGAACCUUACCAGGGUUUGACAUGAUACGAAUUUCUUUGAAAGGAGAAAGUGCCGUUUGGAACGUAUACACAGGUGGUGCAUGGCUGUCGUCAGCUCGUGUCGCGAGAUGUUGGGUUAAGUCCCGCAACGAGCGCAACCCUUAUUUUUAGUUGCCUUUAUGGAACUCUAAAAAGACUGCCGGUUAUAAACCGGAGGAAGGCGGGGAUGACGUCAAGUCAGCAUGCCCCUUACACCCUGGGCUACACACGUGCUACAAUGGGCGAGACAAUGAGAUGCGACUCUGCGAAGAUUAGCUAAUCUAGAAACUCGUUCUAAGUUCGGAUUGUAGGCUGCAACUCGCCUACAUGAAGUUGGAAUCGCUAGUAAUCGCUGGUCAGCAUACAGCGGUGAAUUCGUUCCCGGGCCUUGUACACACCGCCCGUCACACCAUGGAAGCUGGUUAUGCCCGAAGUCGUUACUCUAACCUUU
Molecule: ribosomal RNA, 643 nt
Filed under: uncultured diatom
Lineage: Eukaryota; Bacillariophyta
Description: bacterial SSU rRNA
Rfam family: Bacterial small subunit ribosomal RNA
Source: RNAcentral